UCUUGCAUCUGCUCAACCCCCUGGCCUUCUCCAUCACGAGCGCCUGCCUCCACCUUCCCCCAUGCCGCCAGCCGCCACCUCCCUCCCUCGCGCUGCCGGACGCCGCCUCCCUCCCCCGCGCCACCGGACGACGCCUCCCUCCCCCGCGUCGCCGGAUGCCGCCUCCCUCCCCUGUGCCGCCGGACGCCACCUUCCUCCCCCGCGCCGCCGAACGCGGCCUCCCUCUCCCAUGCCGCCGGACGCCGCCUCUCUCCCCGCCCCGCUGGACGCCGGCGCCACCACGACCACCCUCCCCGACGGGCCGUCUCCACGACCACCCUCCCCGAUGCGGCGCCGCCACACCCCCUCCCCCAGCGUGUCGCCGCCACGACCUCCCUCCCCAGCGCGCGUCGUCCGGCCCUCUUCCCCACCGCGUGCAGGCAGUUGAACGUGCGACCACAAGCCGUUCAAUGUCUCCGCCGUGGACACGCCCCUCUACCUCCUUCUGGUUGCCUCUCAUCCCGGUGUGGCCAUGGCGUUGGGUUCGCCGCCACUGCGACCAGCAGUCCAACCCGGCCGCCCCAGGCCGUUCACUCGUCGCAGCUCCCAGCUAAUGUCAAAUCUAGUUUCGCUUGAGGCAGGGACAAAGAAGUGAGCAAAAGGAGAAAUUGAUCAAUUGCUCAUUAUGCAGUGGUGGUUUUCCUAUCCACAUGUUGACACAACAAAUCAUCAAAAUGGGUGGCGGAGAACCAGUAAGUGCUACUACUGGUGUACGCCAAGUUCAAGGAUUUGCCCAUGCUCGAGCAUCCACUGGCUCCGACCUCCACCCGUUGCUGCACGCCUGGGAUCCGCAACCUCCGACCUCACACGUGGACCUCAGUUGGCUUCUCUGUCCCGAGUGCCGCCGCCGGCCUCCCUGCAGCAUGGCUUCGGUUCCAACCAUCUCUACGAGGCUACCCUAUUCCUUCGCUGGACUACGAGCUAGCAUCCGAAUCGCCGCACUGCCCAGCUGCCACACUCCUCCAGCCACCAUCCGGCAGCGCGCGGCGCUCCAAGCACGUCCUCCAGAUGCCCCCUCCUCUUGCCUACUCCUUGCGAAGCACCCGACCGUCUCCCUCCUGCCCCGUCCGCCUAGGUUUAGUACUCACACCAGUUCAAGUAGUGAUGUUGCAACAAGUACAGCUCCUCCCCUGUCAAGCUUACUGAGCCAAAAAAGAGCAUCUUCAUGACUGAUUGCUAGCUCGCUUCAUCAUCGGCUGAUUUUCCCGUCUACUAGGUUGUUUUUUCGAUAAAGGACUUUUGAUUGAAUAGAUAUAUCGAGGUGAUACGAUCGCAUCGAAAGAAAGCCCGACCUCUGCCUAGCUAGAUGCACACAGCCAAAAAGUCGAGAGUGCCCUAAGAAUAAUAAAAAUAAUUCGGUACAAAGCGAAGCAAAUAAAUUGUCGAGGCUAAGGUGCGGUAGAUCCUAUCCGUAGAUCACACCGCCAUCCAUGGGGGUAGAAAACCUCCCUGGCCGAAUGCUCCAGCCGUGUAGACGCCAUCAUAAAAAGGUCCCUGUCCUCCGGCCUCUGCAGGAUAGACCAAGUACGGAGCCAUCGUGUACAAACAUGAAUAACCUGGAUAGGAGAUGAGACACAUUUGUUAUUGAAGAUCACAUCAUUCCUGGUAAGCAACAAUGCCCAGCAUAAGGCCGCCGCUCCCACAAGAAUAUGUGCAGAAAAUUGUUUAUCAAUACGUGGUGGGUAUAAAUUAGAAGCUACCUGAACUAUGGCCCAAACUGCCCGAGCGAAUUUGCACUCGAAAAAUAAGUGUCUAAUAGUCUCGUCAUGUUGGCAAAAGACACAUGUCUUAGAACCAUGCCAGUUUCGUCGUGCCAAAUUAUCUCUAGUUAGAAUGACUCCUCUAUGUAAAAACCAGAGGAAAAUCUUCACUCUUAGAGGAAUUUUGAGCUUCCACAAUUUCCUGUUAUCAACUGGAACAUCACAAUGAACCAUUGCAUCAUACAUGGAUUUGACAGAAAAUUUGCCAUUCUGAUGCAAGUUCCAUCGAAAGACGUCCGGCUCACCUGACAGUUGAAUGUCCUCCAGACGAGUGAGUAAUUCAUUCCAUGCUGCCAGGCGAGGGCCAAGAAGGUCCCUACGGAAAGAAAUAUCAGGGUUUUGUUGUCCUAAAACUUGUUUGAUCGUGACAAAUUUAUGUCUGACAAUCCUGUACAAGCUCGGAUAUUGCACCAUUAGUGGGUUGUUCCCUAGCCAGGUGUCUUCCCAGAAUCGAACCUGAGAAACAUCCCUAACCGAGAAGGUCCCGAAUUGGAAAAAGAAUUCCUUGGCCUUCAUCACGCCACUCCAAAAAUGCGAAUCCCCGGGUUUCCAAUGAACUUGAGAAAUGGCAUUGGAUCCCACAUACUUGUUGCGAAUGAUUUCCUGCCAUACCCCAUUCUCAGAGAGUAAUUUGUAAACCCACUUGCUGAGAAGAGCAAUAUUUUUAUCUCAAGGUCUUGAAUUCCCAGCCCCCAUUGACUCUUAGGUCUGCAUAAUACGCUCCACCUAGCCAGUCGAUAUUUCUUGGAUUCAUUAUUGCACUGCCAAAAAAAUCUGGAUCUAAAGUAGUCUAGUCGCUGGAGAACCCCUUUCGGUAGGUGGAAGAAUGACAACAUAUAUAGAACCAUGUUGCUUAGGACAGAAUUGAUCAAGAUCAAACGUCCCCCGUAAGACAAGAGUUUGGCCUUCCAACUGGCUAGACGUUUCUCAAGUCUCUCUUCCACAUACUUCCACUCAGCGAUAGUUAAACGCCGAUAGUGUAUAGGAAUACCCAGAUAUUGAAUCGGAAACUGCCCGAGCUGACAUACAAAAAUCUCAGCAUACUCAGGUGCUGAUUCUGCAGCAUCACCAAAGUAAAAGAGUUCGCUCUUAUGAAAAUUGAUUUUGAGACCAGAAAGUUCCUCAAAAGCACAUAAGAGCAACUUGAGAUUUCUUGCCUUGUCUAGAUCGUGAUCCAAGAAAAGGAUAGUGUCAUCCGCAUAUUGUAGAAUAGAUAGUCCAUCUUCUACCAAGUGUGGAAUCACACCACUGAUUUGACCGUCCAGCUUAGCCCGCUCAACAAGGGUAGCUAGCAUGUCGGCCACAAUAUUAAACAAAAUAGGAGAGGCGGGGUCCCCUUGGCAAAGCCCCUUCCUUGUCUGAAAAUAGUUGCCAACGUCAUCAUUAACUUUUAUGGCCACACUGCCUCCAGAAACAAAGCUCUCUACCCAACGACACCAUUUUGGUGAAAACCCCUUCAUGCGCAAAGUUUGCAACAGAAAGGGACACUUAACUUUAUCGUAGGCUUUUUCAAAAUCUAUUUUAAGAAUGACACCAUUCAACUUUUUCCGGUGAAACUCAUGUACAGUUUCGUGCAGAACGACCACUCCAUCUAAUAUGUUGCGGCCUUGCAUAAAUGCUGUUUGAGUGGGCUUUACGACAUGGUCAGCCACCCCGUUCAACCGAUUAGUAGCGACCUUCGUAAAGAUUUUAAAACUUACAUUCAGAAGGCAAAUCGGUCAAUAUUGUUGAAUACGAUUAGCCUUCUUAAUCUUGGGCAAUAGGAUAAUUUCCCCAAAGUUUAAACGAGAAAUAUCAAGGUCUUCGGUAUGCAGUUGGUGAAACAACGGAACCAAGUCUGCCUUAAUCACGUCCCAAAAACAUUGAUAGAACUCUGCGGGAAAGCCAUCCGGGCCCGGAGCUUUGUUGUGUUCCAUUUGGAACACAGCGGUUCGAAUUUCCUCCUCAGAGAACGGGGAGGUUAGGAAUUCAUUUUCCGCUUCCAUAACUUGAGGGAUGUCAUGAGUAACAGAUUCAUCCAGCUGAAAAUUUGUUUCAGCUGAAGGUCCAAAAAGCUCCUUGUAAUACUUGGUAAUGAAAGUUCUAAGUGGUGCGUCCCCCUCAAUUCGGCCUUCCUCCUAGUCAAGGGCGAAUAUGCGUUUCUUUCUAUGUCUGCCAUUGGCAAGCAUUUGAAAGUAUUUCAUAUUAUCAUCACCUUGCACAAGCGAAUCCGCCUUGCAACGUUGGUACCAUUUAAUCUCUUCCUCGUGUAAUAGGCGGGCAAUCUGCUCAUUUAGAUUUCUUUUUUGCUCAAUCUCAACAGCAGUCAGAGGCCUGACCUCCGCUAUUUUAUCAAGGGAAUCGAUUAAGGUAGAUAGUCGCAGUUUUUCUUUUUUGUAAAUGCCAGCAGUAUGCUUGGCCCAUCCAAAAAGGAAUCGGCGCAAGGCGCGAAUUCGAUUGUUCCAUCGUUGAAUGGGCGUGUUACCAUGAGGUUGGCGCGCCCACACUUUCUUAACAAGGUCAUGAAAUCCCUCUCUAGUGAGCCAACCCAGUUCAAAUUUAAACUGGUGACGGUUAGAACGUGGGAUUGGUUGUCCAAAAUCGGUUAGCAAAGGAGCGUGAUCCGAUAAGGCCUCAAUACGUUCUAGAGCCCGAACCGAUGCUAGGGGGUAUUUAUAUUCCCAGUCGGUGGUAACUAGCACUCGGUCAAGUUUUUUAAAUGUUGGCACUGAUCGGUUAUUGGCCCAGGUAUACUGACGGCCAGACAUCGUGAUCUCCCUCAGAUCCAGGCUGUCAAUAACAACAUUAAAGAGGAAAGGCCACCUAGUGUCAAACCGGUCAUUGUUUUUUUCCUGCUCAUAUCGAAGGAUAUUAAAAUCCCCCCAAAUAAACAUGGGGUGAGGAUUGUCUCGACAGGUAUUAACAAGUUCUUUUAGAAAUGCAGACUUAAACUCCUCUUGAGCGGCGCCAUAUACAGCCACCAAACUCCAAAGGAAGUUGUCGGACUUGUUUCGAAGGUGGAAUUUAAUAUGAUAAUCCCCCUUUGACGUGGACAAUAGUUACAAGUAAGUAGAGUUAAUACCUAGCAAUAUUCCACUGGACCUCCCGGUCGGCGGCAGUACGUGCCAUUCGUAGUCCAAACCACUUGAAAAGUGGUCGAGAGUACGUGUUGGAAAAUCACGUUUGCCCGACUCGGUGAUAGCUACAAAGUCCAACACAUGAUCCUUUACGCAAUCGGCAAUGUGUUUGUGUUUAGCCAAGUCACCAAGACCUCUGCUAUUCCAAAACAUGCCUCUCAUGCUGAACCAAUUUUUUGUUUAGAGACCUUCGCCUUCUUAGAAGAGCGCCCUCUUUUCUUUGCUGAGUUAGACUUAUUCUUGCGCACCGACGCGACAAGCUCACAAAGCGUAGUGUCGCGUACAGUAUCGUCAAGGUCUACUAAUUCCUUCUAUCCUUUUGUUGUAUCUUUAUUUGGAGAUUUAUAUUUUAAGCCAUUGCCGCUUUUACCUCUAGUUAGUAGAGAUGCACAGCAAGUAUUCGUUGGAAUGCCGCUGACAAACUUUUUAUGGAGUUAUAAAAAGGUUGUAGGAAUUACUCGAUGGAUUUUACUGUGUGCUUCUGAUUCUUGAGGAAAAUGUUCUUUUUCUGAAUUUUCAUUUUCACAAGCGUGAUGCAUGUGGUAUUCAAUUGAUGCAUUUUGAACUACUAGCUCGCUUGAUACAUAUGAUGCGGUCCUAAACUAUUGUAUGAUCCAAUCUUUUUAUGUACGAGCGAAAAACUAAAAAAUAUGUAGAAGCUUUUGUGUUUCUGUAUUUAUUUGUACAGUGAUAGAUGGAUGGGUUGUUCUUCCUUUUGUUGUAUAGUGAUGCUAAUCAGACACCAUUUUUCUAACUCCAGAAAAGAGUGCUUAGGCCUUAGGCGUGGAGGCUAGUUCAUGUCUUGUUGUUACAUACUUGCAACAUUAUUUAGUUGUGUUCACAAGUAGGAAAGUUGGCAUUCGUGAAUUUAGACAAAAAAAUAUGUUCUGCCACUACACUUUUCAUGCCCGACAGUUCAGGGAAAAUAGCUAACAAUGUCUCUGCUAGAUCGGACUCUAUAUAUUCACGACACUUUACUACUAUGGUAAGUAUAUUUAAACUGAUGUAUUUCUUCUAGAUAAUGAGCUUUUUGUAGUAUGGAGAGUACAAGCUGGCGCUGCUGAAUUCAGUAGAAGCUAGUUUGUAUAAGUUGAAUUUUGAACAUAUGUUGAACACGUACAUGUUUACAUGCAUUUCUAGAGUGCUAAUGUGCUAUGACUUCGUUGUUGCAGGGGAUCUUGGGAAGCACUUAAACAAUCGGCCCAUCUGCUUUCCGCCGUCAUGAACACCGCCGUGGCGCUGCCCAUUGCUCUCAGUGGUCGUUCUUCCUCUUGUGUGGCCUUCUUCCCCUGGCAACUGCUGGCUCGUUGGCCGUCCUUCUUCUCCAUCUAUUGAAGUUCAUCCUUUUUAAUUGGCAACGUGUGUACAGCAGCAACGGCGGAUGAUCUAUCUCCCAUGCCUCCGUCCUCAAUCUCGCUGGUUUCUCUAUUUUAUGUUACGAUGGUAGUGACAUUGGAGAAGAAAGGUGUGUCGAGGUACAAAUCUUGAGUUUUUUGAGGUUCAAUGCAUUGCUGCUGAAAGCAGCAUCCAGGACGACCUCGACCUACUGCCACUAGCUGUUGGUGCACCUCCUGUUAGCUCCUAGCUAUUACCUAGUGUUCUUAAUGCUACCUCUACAAAGAAGGUGCUCGCGUGUUGGGGUGUUGCAUCUCUGGCGAGGUCGCUGUAAUGCACCAGCUCCACCACACUAAACUCAUCUUUUGUUUAUCUUCUGUAUGACCUAUAGGAGUUCUCAGGUGGCGCUUCAACAAAAUUUGUUGUAAGUUUCUUUCUCGUAGAUUUUUAUUCAAUAUAUUUCUUGCUGAAAUAUGAAGUUCAAAAACAUCAUCGGGGCAGGUUCAUGGAUCGUCACACUCUUGAUCACGGUUCGGUUUGUGUGUGUUACUCCACAAUAUAUAAUUUUCUGUUUAAUUCUUAUUUUAGUUAAGUUCAAUAUAUAAUUUUAGUUUAGUUCAAUAUCUUGAGUAUCACCUUUUUCUGCCAUGAACUCAUGCUAUAAUGUGGGCAUCUAAGUUCACUCUGAAUAUGUUGAUACUAAACAAGAAGUUGGCUCUGAACUCUCAUAUUCGUCUUAACAAUUGACAGGUCUGAAUAUGUUGCCACCGCCGUGCUGAUUUCCUGUCGCGACCUUGUUGAUUCCCCGCCUUCGAACUGACCACCGCCGACUGUGGGCUGCACCUUCCACGCGCAUCCAUGUGACCAUGUAGAUGCACGUCUUCAUUGAGUCGCUCACAGCGCAUAUGUGUGUCUUGUGUUCGUGUGUGCGUGGUCGCGGCUAUGCUUGGCGUUUCGGCGUUGUCUGUGUGUGGUCUUGCGGGCGUCUCACCUCAAACGCAUCCCAGGACGGUGCACGAGUUGCUGAGGAAACGCCCAAGCCUGUGGCCUCUCGACCACAACUUCGUCUCAUGGAAGCUGUUGGAUGUGGACAGCCAGUACGAAUUCAAGUCUAAGUGGCUCAUCAAGGAGGAAAAGAAGAGGAACUCGAGUGGUUUCUCUAUGGAGAAGGGCAGAAGACAUUUUGCUCUGAACAUACUUGUUGAUAUGCCCAUGAGAAUGGGUACAUUUUUCUACAGAUUUUUGUGUUGCUGACGAGGGCUACACAACUUGUAUUUCUACCAGUUGAACUUAAGUGUGUCCUCUAUAAAGUUCGUGGAUGUGUGGAUGUUCUUUUGACAUUGAACUGUCAAGUGCUUGCAAAAUCUGAAGUGUUGAUCCAUCAGCA
This is a long non-coding RNA of Triticum aestivum (bread wheat), 7637 nucleotides long. RefSeq lists it as uncharacterized. Lineage: Eukaryota; Viridiplantae; Streptophyta; Magnoliopsida; Poales; Poaceae. The transcript has 6 exons. The record is from RefSeq and is a predicted model, not a curated record.